AUUGAACGCUGGCGGCAUGCUUUACACAUGCAAGUCGAACGGUAACAGCACUUCGGUGGCUGACGAGUGGCGAACGGGUGAGUAAUACAUCGGAACGUGCCUAGUAGUGGGGGAUAACUACUCGAAAGAGUAGCUAAUACCGCAUGAGAUCUAAGGAUGAAAGCAGGGGACCUUCGGGCCUUGCGCUACUAGAGCGGCUGAUGGCAGAUUAGGUAGUUGGUGGGAUAAAAGCUUACCAAGCCGACGAUCUGUAGCUGGUCUGAGAGGACGACCAGCCACACUGGAACUGAGACACGGCCCAGACUCCUACGGGAGGCAGCAGUGGGGAAUUUUGGACAAUGGGCGCAAGCCUGAUCCAGCAAUGCCGCGUGCAGGAUGAAGGCCUUCGGGUUGUAAACUGCUUUUGUACGGAACGAAAAGCCCUCUUCUAAUACAGGAGGGUCAUGACGGUACCGUAAGAAUAAGCACCGGCUAACUACGUG
This 482-nucleotide ribosomal RNA is filed under the name uncultured bacterium. RNAcentral describes it as "partial 16S ribosomal RNA". It matches the Rfam family "Bacterial small subunit ribosomal RNA", at positions 30 to 507 of the family's 1533-position model. The record is from RNAcentral.